Molecule: long non-coding RNA, 240 nt
Filed under: Panax ginseng (ginseng)
Lineage: Eukaryota; Viridiplantae; Streptophyta; Magnoliopsida; Apiales; Araliaceae
Description: long non-coding RNA (PGIN_LNC003058)
Source: RNAcentral
CACAACCCAUAACUGAAAACAGCAUAACAACAGACUGCAUGUCCCCGAGCAUAACAACAGAAGUAAUGCUGCAGCAAACCCCGAGCAGCCACCCCACACAGCAACAUGACCAAUGGCCAGCCUCAUACUGACUGCAUAACAGCAACCCGGACCAGCAAUGUUACAGCAGCGGGCGCCUAUGCAAUCAGCAGUAACAAACCCACCAUAUUGAAGUAUUGAAGUAUAAAGCAUUAAGGAAUU